This 75-nucleotide transfer RNA is filed under the name Streptococcus thermophilus. RNAcentral's name for it is "tRNA-Asn". It matches the Rfam family "tRNA". Rfam says of the family: Transfer RNA (tRNA) molecules are approximately 80 nucleotides in length. Their secondary structure includes four short double-helical elements and three loops (D, anti-codon, and T loops). Lineage: Bacteria; Bacillati; Bacillota; Bacilli; Lactobacillales; Streptococcaceae. The record is from RNAcentral.
AUCCGCCAUAGCUCAGUUGGUAGUAGCGCAUGACUGUUAAUCAUGAUGUCGUAGGUUCGAGUCCUACUGGCGGAG